UAUAAAGUAAGGUACCUAACAUAAGCAAGGACCACACAUUUGAAAAUAAAAUAACAAUUUAUUCUGUUUUAUAGUUGCAUUAAUAUGUCAGCCAAAUUUUUACCACAAAUCUGCAUAAUCAAACCUAUCUACAGAAUCCUGGACAUUGUUGUUGUCAUGCUUUGAUCAAACAAUAUCCUUUAUUAUUGCACCGUGUAGUUUUAAAAUUGCUUUUCAACUUUGUUUCACACAUACAGACAGAUAAAAUUGGAUCAGGUAUCCAGAUUCUCAUUGUUAUUACUCACCUAUGGCCACCAAAACACAUCACUGCUUUCAUCUUAUGUGCCUUAGAGAGAAAAUUCUACCCUUUGAUCAAUUGUAGAAAGAUAUGAGGAUGGUAUUUCAUUCUGCAUUGAUUUUCCUCGACGUUGCUGUAUGUGGCUCCUCUAGUUGUUAAUUCACCCAGGAAUCAACCUAAGUCAUUACCUGCACAUCGUUUUUUCCACUGCAAUCAUCCGUGUUAAACUAAUGUGUCUCCUGUAGCAGAACCGGGCCAUCAGGCUUUACCUGAACUCCCCAGCUACAGCACUAUACAUGUCCUCAUGUGACUUUAGUGCUAUAAGACAUCACGGCCUACAAAAGCCAUGGCACUCAUCUAACUACACGUCUGUCGGUUUUGUGUUUUAUCCUCCUCACAUCCCUAAUUUCCAUUUCUGCCAUGUCAAAUAUUUACUCAGGUCUGUUGUAAUCACAGUCCUGCUGGUGUGGACGCUGACCCACAAAAAUCCCACCAUGUUUAAAAGCUUUACUCUGAAGUAUUUAUCUCUGCUGAGGGAAUUGGGAUACACUUCAAUAUCAUCCUGCAUAUUUUUAAGGUCUGUUGGGUAAGCAAAAACAUUUUCAGCAUUUUCUUAUAGUGAUAUGUUUUGGUCUCGUCAUAUCAUAGAUAAAUGUAUAUGUAAGAACUAUGUACUACUUCCCCUGUAUAUAUGCUUAAUAUGAAACAUUCAGAAUCAACAAGUGCAAAUACCUAGUUUCAUGUGUAAAUACUGACCAGAACGGUGCUUACUGUAGCUUUUCCCACACCCACACUUCAAAGUGGACCUCAAACUGUGCAGUCUUCUGAGUAACAUCCAGGAUCCUGACAGUAGCCCAUCUCAAAGCUACAACCAAACCACAAGUGCAUUACCACCCAGGAUGUUUCUUUUUUUCCUACAGGUCUAACCCACGGUGUGUCUGGGUCUGGGAUUUUCUGUUUGUUUUUGCCUGCUAUUUAAACUACCUUACCACUAGAUGCCGCCUGAGCUCUGGAGGUGAGAGGGAGAUAGGUGUUCGCAAUCUUCUUCAAACUGGAGGAGUAUAAGAGAGCAGUCGGCCAGCACUUCUACGCCUGGGUGUUUGCCUAAUGGGGCUCCACUGCAGAUCUGUUCUGGUUCAACUGAUUUCUCGUUUGAACUGCUUCCCAAGCUUCAAGAUUUCAAGGAAUGUUUUAGAUUCCAUUCCAGCUAGCUGCUCCUGGCUCUCCUACCUCCUGGCUUCAAGCUCAAGCGAUCCCUGUCCACAACUCCAACCUCAGUAAGUGAGCUGCCUUCAGAGAAACUUCACUGCUGCACACUGAGUGAAGGAUCAAGAGGAAAAUAAAUUCAGGCACCUCUGUGGUCAUCUUCCGUCCCAGCUCCGACCCCCUCCAUGCAAGAUCAUCAACAUCACUCAGUAAGCCUGAAGAUACCUUCUUAAGAAAGUCUGUUUUUGUUCUCCAUCAACUCACCCAACCUUCUCUCCAUACAGUCGGUGUAUCCAGUUCCCAGUCCACAUUCACCUUCUGUAAAUAAAUUCAUUAACUUUU
Long non-coding RNA from Girardinichthys multiradiatus, 1825 nucleotides. RefSeq lists it as uncharacterized. NCBI's taxonomy places the organism in Eukaryota, Metazoa, Chordata, Actinopteri, Cyprinodontiformes, Goodeidae. The record is from RefSeq and is a predicted model, not a curated record. The transcript has 2 exons.